Long non-coding RNA from Ceratitis capitata (Mediterranean fruit fly), 1102 nucleotides. RefSeq lists it as uncharacterized. The record is from RefSeq and is a predicted model, not a curated record. The transcript has 2 exons. NCBI's taxonomy places the organism in Eukaryota, Metazoa, Arthropoda, Insecta, Diptera, Tephritidae.
UAUAUAAGUUUAUAAAAUGUAUAUAUUUAUAUAUGUUGUAUGUAACUUCUCUUGUUGUUGGUGUUGCUGGGUAGAUAUUUGGCUUGGGGCCCUGAAGUUGGUGAGGCAGUCAUACAAAAGAGACGUAUAUAGUUCUUUAGAACGACGCAUCCGUUCACACCGUUCGUGUUUCGAGAGAUGUCUUAAAAGAUACUGUAUUUACACAAAUUGAACAUCCAUCCAACAGCGUGGAACUGGUUCCCAGUGACUUUUUCUGUAGAAGAAAUAGAAACUACUCUUCGUCUUUUAACAGUUUGGACGAAUUUUAAGAAGAUGCUAAACCUAAUUAUAAUAGUAAAAGAGUUAUGUGUUUGUCCGCCAAUAUUGACUAGAAUUAUUCUCCUCCGAAAAGAAUCCCUCCGCAUACUUCUAAUAUUAAUUUAAUAAAUCUGUCGCCACCUUGUCAAAAUAUAGAAGCCUUCCACAACUAAAGGACAGACUAACUAUGAAUGAUAUGUGACACCGAACAAAUGAAAAAAUAAUGAAAGAAAACGAGUUGGAAUUACACUGAAAAUUGUGUAAAAAUUUUGUACUAGGUCGAUGUAAAAAUUUCCUACUGGGAUACUGCUAUUUUAGUUCGGUAUAUGUACGUAUAUAUGUAUAUAAGUUAAUUUACUUUUCGUAAGUUUUUGGAAAAAAAUUAGUUUAUUCUACGCUUUAGCACAUGUUGGUUUAUUGAAUUCUAACUUAGAAUUAACUUACAAUUUUUAUUUUCCUAAACAUUAAGCUUCUGUGUCCCGAUGUUAUGCAGGUGCGCCUUCAUGUUGUUGUUGCUGUGGGCUAUCUGGUGAACGUUCCCAUGCAGCAGCGACGCAGAGUCACCAUUUUGACGAUUGCGCGUGUGGUGUCGUUUGUCCGUGGGAUAAUGGCCACUGCGAACUCUAUAUGCUUGCGUAAGUUAAAAUAUGUCGUGGGAAAGCUGCUUCAGCGUAUCCCAUGUAAAUUUCUCUCUCUUUAAAGCAUGCAGCGUCCUCGAUGGAGGACUUCGAAUUGUCGGCGAUUGCAGAGGAUAAUCUUUCAUUACCAAGGAAAAUAUAAAUAAAACUUCUGGUUGAUUCUGUUA